UACGGAGGGUGCGAGCGUUAAUCGGAAUUACUGGGCGUAAAGGGUGCGUAGGUGGUUAUUUAAGAUAUCUGUGAAAUACCUGGGCUUAACCUGGGGGUGUCAGAUGUGACUGGAUGACUAGAGUAUGAGAGAGGGUAGUGGAAUUUCCGGUGUAGCGGUGAAAUGCGUAGAGAUCGGAAGGAACACCGGUGGCGAAGGCGGCUACCUGGGUUAAUACUGACACUGAGGCACGAAAGCGUGGGGAGCAAACAGG
Molecule: ribosomal RNA, 253 nt
Filed under: uncultured bacterium
Lineage: Bacteria
Description: partial 16S ribosomal RNA
Rfam family: Bacterial small subunit ribosomal RNA
Source: RNAcentral